Lycium barbarum (goji berry) is the source of this 647-nucleotide long non-coding RNA. RefSeq lists it as uncharacterized. NCBI's taxonomy places the organism in Eukaryota, Viridiplantae, Streptophyta, Magnoliopsida, Solanales, Solanaceae. The record is from RefSeq and is a predicted model, not a curated record. The transcript is spliced from 2 exons.
ACUGCUGCAGCAGUUGUACCAUGUGCAGCACAAAAUGGUACAAAUAGGGAUAUUUUUGUACAUGUAUAAGGAUAAAUUGGUUGAACUUUAUUCAUUUUCAUAAAGGCACGUGUAGGUACUUUGGAAGACGUGUCUUACCAAUAUUCAGCCCUACACCUUAACUCUAAUUUCCUUUGAAACCUCACUUCUUUGGAGCAGGCAAAGCUCUCUGUAACCUUCACUGAUGAACUGUCAGGCAAAAAGAUAUCAAAAGCCAUCCAACUAUGGUGUUUGAACUUCAAGUUUCACAAUUUUGGUGGAAAAUCGCUACUAAUUAGCGUAUUAUUUCUGAGUUUUAGGUUUGGAUCUAAUUAUUCAACAAUCUUUUUUUUUUUUCCCUCCUGUUUAAUCAUUUUAUUCUCUAGUGCCAACAUCUUCAGAAAGAAGGGGGAAGCUUUUUUAGACGUUGUAUUUCUCUAUCUCUUUUUACUUUUUUGUAUUUUAGACGUUGUAUUUCUCUAUCUCUUUUUCCUUUUUUGUAUUUCAGAAUUUUUUGUUUCCCGAUAUUCACAUUAGGGGAAGAUUUUUUCAUGUAGCCAAUUGAUUAUCUUUGUUGAAGUCUGCGGGCUUCACCAAAUUCAGUUUAUAGGUCAGCAUUUUCUCCUCAA